GUAGGACUAAAAUGAAAAAAUUGGGGAUAAGAACACCAUAAGUGCCAUAAUUUUUUGUACGCUACUCAUGUCAUAACUUUUCAUACGACGCUCACUUGAGCACCGUAACUUUAUUUAUUUAUUUUUAUCACUUAAGUGUCAUGACUUUUCUUUUUCGAUCACUAGAUUGCCCGGACUUCUAAAUAACGGCCACCGCAAGUAUCAAGUAUCGUUGUGGUGAACGCUUUUUAAAAAGUAAGGGUAUCAUUCUAUGUAUGUUACAAGUCAUGACACUUAAGUGAUUAAAAAAGAAAGUUACGACAUGAGUGCAAUACAAAAAUUAUGACACCGUGGUGUCACUUACCCCCGGAAGACGUGUGCAGUGCCUUGGCAAGAACGAGACCUUGUAUGCACGAGAGAGAGAGAGAGAGAGAGGGGGGGUGGCUUUGG
Molecule: long non-coding RNA, 429 nt
Filed under: Eucalyptus grandis
Lineage: Eukaryota; Viridiplantae; Streptophyta; Magnoliopsida; Myrtales; Myrtaceae
Description: long non-coding RNA (EGRA_LNC004143)
Source: RNAcentral